Ctenopharyngodon idella (grass carp) is the source of this 1287-nucleotide long non-coding RNA. RefSeq lists it as uncharacterized. The transcript is spliced from 3 exons. The record is from RefSeq and is a predicted model, not a curated record. Lineage: Eukaryota; Metazoa; Chordata; Actinopteri; Cypriniformes; Xenocyprididae.
UCUGACAGGCUGAAGGACAGAAUGAAAAGAGCUGAAUUAAAUUGAGCUGACUGAAGGGCAUCAGGUCACUAUGGACACUACAAAUCUCUGCCUCUUUCCUUCUCACCAGAGCUGGACUCUUGAUCUUGAGGACUUUCAUAAACAUGGUCUGGGACUCAUUACUUGGUAUCUUGGCCUGGGUCCCAAAACUACAGCAAAUGGUCUUGGUUUAUGGCCAAGAGAACUCAAGAAGUCAUUCAUAGAGGUGAUAAUUACCUCAACAGGAGAUUUCUGAAGUAAACAAAGAAUUGGCAUCAAUCUAAGAAAUGCUGGGUUUUUUUUUUUUUAACACAAAUGCUGGGUUCAGCCUGCUGGGUCAUUUUAUUGGGUUAUUUUUUAAUAUUUUUACACAGGUGCUGGGUAGUUUUUAUAUUACUGUCAAUACAAACGAUGAACCCCCUCACAUUCCUACCCAGCAAUUUUGGGUAGUCUGUGCCAAACCGGUUAAAACUGGAUUUGUCAACGGCCAUUUUGUGUUCUGUUCUGAGAGAAAACUUCUUGAGGGGAAAUUCGUGAAUGAAAUUAAGCUAACGUCUGCUUGGACAUUAGCCUUCUACAAACGCAGCGUGCACCGGAUCUACACUCAAAGCGAAUGAUGUGUCGGUGCCACCAUGGAAGUUUCACGGCCAGGGCUGAAACACGACGUGACAACGCUAUCAUGUGUAACAAAGAUGUUGUGGACUAAUUUGAUCUAGUGCGCUAGCAUCGUAGCUGUGGUCGCGCUAUGCAUUUGACCGGUUGAAACUUAAAUGUCUGACAGACAAGAUGGCACACGAUUCCCACUGGCUGCUCUUGCUGCUCCUGUCACAUCCUAAAACGUUACUAAAUGUUUUUGAGUGUUUUAUGAUUGUAAAAGACUGGUUUGCCAUUGAAUAAAAAAUGUUGUAUAUGAAUUUUUCAGAGAUUUUAGAGUGCAUUUUUAUUAUUUAAAAUUAAAAACUUUCCAUAUCAGGUUGAUGCCUGCAUGUGGCCAAAUAACCCAGAAGUCAUUUUUUUACCCAGCAUUAGGUGAAUAAAUGGCCCUUUUACCCUGUAAAGCCUGACAUACGAAAUAAUAGUCUUUUUAAAUGGAACAAGUUUAUAAAAAUAUAUACAUAAAGAAUAAAAAAAUAAGUUAAUAAAAAAAAAAAAAAAUCCCAAUAAUACGCCUAAUUUUAUGAUCAAAGUUCUGUAGUUGGAAGCCAUGAUAAUACAAUGAUAAUUGAGAGAUGUACAAAAAAACAUUCAUAAAAAGCCUGAUGUAUCAUA